AGUAUCUGUUCGUUCAAGUUGUUCAAUAACUUUUGCUUCUGGAUAAGGUUGUCAAAUGUUGCGGUUAAUUCUUCUGGAUCGAAAUCUAUAUCAUGCUUCGCUGCAUCUAUCUUUCGAAUGAGUUUGGUAACAGCACUUCUGUUCCCGGAUCGUAUCGACUUGAGCUUCUUUAAAUCCAUUGGUCACGGUACCAUAAAUGUGGAGGUUAAAAGUAUGAUAUUUUCGCUAAUAUAAACAAA
RNAcentral lists this long non-coding RNA (239 nucleotides) under Mytilus galloprovincialis (Mediterranean mussel). Lineage: Eukaryota; Metazoa; Mollusca; Bivalvia; Mytilida; Mytilidae. The record is from RNAcentral.